Molecule: long non-coding RNA, 1420 nt
Organism: Trifolium pratense (red clover)
Lineage: Eukaryota; Viridiplantae; Streptophyta; Magnoliopsida; Fabales; Fabaceae
Exons: 4
Source: RefSeq, a predicted model, not a curated record
AGUUAGCUCUUAUCUCAAAACUAUUUUCUUUCAUGUUACUAUUUUCUCAAAACUAUUGUAACAAAAAAGUUAAAAGGAACAAAAUUUUCAUCACAAAAUUCCUAAGAGAAAGAUCAUAUCUAAAUUGAUAGAUCCUUGGUUCUUCUAUGUAGUAAGCUCAUGUCAACUUAUCUCUCCCUCUAAUAUCAAUUCCUCCCCCCUCUAAUUAAUAACCACUUCUUCAACAAUACUUACUACUUUUGAUUCCUAAUUCAACGAGGAGCUUUAUUUGGUUCCUAAUUCAACGACUGUAAUUUCUUUGAUUAAUGAGGUCCCUUGGCCGUUGUUGCUUCAAUAAUUGCAAGCCAAGCAAUUAUUUCAGCAUCGUUCUCCAUGGUAUCGCAAGCCUUAAGUAUGGGUUGUUUCCCAAAGCUUAAGGUUAUAUAUACAUACAUCCACAAAACAUGAAGGCCAAAUUUACAUUAUUGUGGUCAAUUACAUGUUUAUGGGUGCAUGUAUUGCGAUUACCUAUAUCUUUCGGCCAUCCGAAAAACUGAGUAAUGCUUAUGGGGUUACAAUAGCCUGUGAUAUGGCUAUUACAACAUUUCUAGUCUCAGUUGUCAUGCUAAUUGUGUGGAAGAAGAGCUUUUGGAUAGUUGCUCUCUUUUUUUUUUUUUUUUUUUGGUUACAGAUAGUUGCUCUCUUUACUUAAGAAUAUUAUAAAGCAGUUGUAGUCUUGUAGAUGAAGAAAACAGCAACCAAAUUCGUAACAAAACCUUCCAAAAAAGAAAUGAAAUUCUCAUGUUCCCCUAUAACUUUGUUUGUUGGGUCUUUAAUUAGCACCUAUUUAAUGCUCAUAGAAAUAGAAAUCAUUAAUAACUUGUAACUCAAGCAGAGACACAUAGAGAGAGUGUGCUGAGAGAGAGACUUUUGUUGUGUCAUUUUUAUCUUAUACAGUUAAUUAACUUCUCCAAUGUCUAUUGAAAUUAAUUCUAUAAGCAUCGAGAAAGGUGAAAAUGACCACUCCUCCAAGCUGAGAUGGACGACUACACUCUCCUUAGCAUUUCAAAGCACAUUUCCCCAUGGCAUCGAUCACAUGGAUGAUCUCCUAGGUGUAUUGUCCAUGAUCUAUUGGACAAUCUUGUUCAUCCCUGCAUCAAGUAUCUUUGGAUUACAACAUUUCUAGUCUCAGUUGUCAUGCUAAUUGUGUGGAAGAAGAGCUUUUGGAUAGUAGCUCUCUUUGCUUUACUAUUCAGCUUCAUUAAAUUGACUUAUCAUCAUUGAUGGUAAAGUUCACAGAGGGUGGCUUAGUUUCCAGCCUAUUUAUCAGCCUACCUUGCCUUCACUCAGUUGUUGUCUUAGUGCCCGUUUGGGCCUCCUUAAUUUUGUCUUAAAAGUUAUUUUAAGAAUAAAGUUGAAAAUAAAAGCUUUAAACUUAAAG